Molecule: long non-coding RNA, 871 nt
Organism: Musca domestica (house fly)
Lineage: Eukaryota; Metazoa; Arthropoda; Insecta; Diptera; Muscidae
Exons: 3
Source: RefSeq, a predicted model, not a curated record
UUGCUUAUAUUUUAAUGAAGAAUGUCACAUUCACAACGUGUAAGUUGCCGUAACGGAUUAAAGUUGGUCUACUCUCAACUUUUGACAUGCGGCAAGUCCGGCACAGAAAUCAGCUGUUAUUUGUGAAUAUUUUAUGUUAGGUUUUUGAAAUGGAAUUUUUAUUAAUAGAAGCGGUGCAGAUUCACCCUUGUCUUUUUGACAAAAAAAAAAAAAAACAGUGCUAUAUCGCAACAAAAUUGCUAAGGAAAAAGCUUGGAGAGCUGUGGCAGCUUCCACAAACGCGACUAUCGAACAAUGCCAAAGUCGCUGGAGGUCCCUUCGGGACAGAUAUGUAAAGGAGGUUAACGGAAGUAAGCUUCCGUCGGGAAGUGGUGCAAAAGAAGGUAGUGGUUGGCGGUAUAUGAAUGCGAUGUCUUUUUUGCAACGACAUGUCGUUCCUCGCAGAACUUCUUCAAAUAUGCAAUGGUCGAGUGAAGAUUCAUUUUUAAGUACGCAGUUCGAGAGUGGCGACAUAUAUGGAAGUUCGCAGUUGUCGGGGGAAGACGAAACAAUUGAAAAUGUAGAUUUUUUUUGCAGCGAGCUGCCACGUCCUUUUGAUCAAUCCACACCACAAGUGGAAAAGCGUUGCGAUAAAAGAAAGAGACAAGAAGACAGGUUUGAUCACCUUUGUGACUCUGUGUCUGACUGGAUAAAAAAAAACAGGUAUCACAGAGUCAAAGUCCCCCACCAGUGUCUCGUAUUGCCGAUUUUUUAAGAGUACUAGACGAGUAUUUGCUGAAGCACUCAAAGGACGAGCAAUAUAGAAUUAAAAUCAAAUUGCUCAACAUUGUCUCAAAUUUUAAACAAUGAAUGAAUUUUAAACAAUGUUCUU